UGCCCAGCAACUCCUAUCCCUACCUCCUCGUGGUAGCGGCCGGAAACUAUGAGCCACCUUAGGGAACCUUACGCGGAUUCCCGGAUAAACUGAUACGGUUGA
Aedes albopictus (Asian tiger mosquito) is the source of this 102-nucleotide non-coding RNA. Lineage: Eukaryota; Metazoa; Arthropoda; Insecta; Diptera; Culicidae. The record is from Rfam.